GGAGACAGAGCACCGGGUGCUAACGUCCGGACUCAAAAGGGAAACAACCCAGACCGCCGGCUAAGGUCCCAAAUAACAGCUAAGUGGAAAACGAAGUGGAAAGGCCGUGACAACCAGGAAGUUGGCUUAGAAGCAGCCAUCCUUCAAAGAAAGCGUAAUAGCUCACUGGUCGAGUCCUUCUGCGCGGAAGAUGUAACGGGGCUAAGCUGUUAACCGAAGCCGCGGAUGCACUGGUUAUCCAGUGCGUGGUAGGGGAGCGUUCUGUAAGUCUGCGAAGGCGGUUCGAGAGGACUGCUGGAGAUAUCAGAAGUGCGAAUGCUGACAUGAGUAACGUUAAAGCAGGUGAAAAGCCUGCUCGCCGUAAGCCCAAGGAUUCCUGCUCUACGUUCAUCGGAGCAGGGUGAGUCGGCUCCUAAGGUCAGGCCGAAAGGCGUAGCCGAUGGGAAUCAGGUUAAUAUUCCUGAACCUGCGUCAGAUGCGAUGGGGGGACGGAGCAUGGAAGAUCAUCCGGGUGUUGGAAGUCCCGGUUGUUGAGCGUAGGGGGUCUGCAGGCAAAUCCGCAGACGCAUCUCCAAGGCAAAGACACGUGCCGCCACGGCGGCGAAGUGAUCGGAAGUGCUUCCAAGAAAAGCCUCUAAGCCCCAGUCUGACGCGGACCGUACCGCAAACCGACACUGGUGGGCGAGCUGAAUAUGCUCAGGCGCUUGAGAGAACUCGGGAGAAGGAACUCGGCAAAUUGACACCGUAACUUCGGAAGAAGGUGUGCCGUAGUACCGUGAGAGGAGAGACACCUUGAGCGGGAAACGGUCUCAGAGAAUAGGUGGCUGCGACUGUUUAUUAAAAACACAGCACUCUGCAAAGUCGAAAGACGACGUAUAGGGUGUGAUGCCUGCCCGGUGCUGGAAGAUUAAUUGAUGGGGUGAGAGCCCUUGAUCGAAGUCCCAGUAAACGGCGGCCGUAACUAUAACGGUCCUAAGGUAGCGAAAUUCCUUGUCGGGUAAGUUCCGACCUGCACGAAUGGCAUAACGAUGGCCACACUGUCUCCUCCCGAGACUCAGUGAAGUUGAAAUGUUUGUGAUGAUGCAAUCUACCCGCGGCUAGACGGAAAGACCCCAUGAACCUUUACUGCAGCUUUGCAUUGAACUGUGAACCGAUUUGUGUAGGAUAGGUGGGAGGCAGAGAAGAGGCCACGCCAGUGGUCUUGGAGCCGACCUUGAAAUACCACCCUGAUUUGUUUGCGGUUCUAACCACGGACAGUGAUCCUGUCUUGGGACCGUGCAUGGUAGGCAGUUUGACUGGGGCGGUCUCCUCCUAAAGGGUAACGGAGGAGUACGAAGGUACGCUAGGUACGGUCGGAAAUCGUGCUGAUAGUGCAAUGGCAAAAGCGUGCUUGACUGCGAGAGCAACAACUCGAGCAGAUGCGAAAGCAGGUCAUAGUGAUCCGGUGGCUCUGAAUGGAAGGGCCAUCGCUCAACGGAUAAAAGGUACUCUGGGGAUAACAGGCUGAUACCGCCCAAGAGUUCAUAUCGACGGCGGUGUUUGGCACCUCGAUGUCGGCUCAUCUCAUCCUGGGGCUGUAGUCGGUCCCAAGGGUAUGGCUGUUCGCCAUUUAAAGAGGUACGUGAGCUGGGUUUAAAACGUCGUGAGACAGUUUGGUCCCUAUCUGCCGUGGGCGUUGGAAGAUUGACGGGGGCUGCUCCUAGUACGAGAGGACCGGAGUGGACGCACCUCUGGUGUACCGGUUGUCACGCCAGUGGCAUUGCCGGGUAGCUAAGUGCGGAAGAGAUAACCGCUGAAAGCAUCUAAGCGGGAAACUUGCCUGAAGAUGAGUCUUCCCGGAGGUUGAACCUCCCUCAAGAGUCGUCCGAGACCAGGACGUCGAUAGGUCAGGUGUGUAAGCGCUGUAAGGCGUUGAGCUAACUGAUACUAAUUGCUCGUGAGGCUUGAUCCU
Molecule: ribosomal RNA, 1951 nt
Filed under: metagenome
Description: bacterial LSU rRNA
Rfam family: Bacterial large subunit ribosomal RNA
Source: RNAcentral